UCAUUAAAAUAAAAAGUCGCUCAUAUAAUCGCAGUAAUAUGGUCUGCAAGUUUCUACCGGGAAGCCUUAAAGUUCCCGACUAUGGGUGGGUAACUGCCGUGG
This 102-nucleotide non-coding RNA is filed under the name Lacicoccus alkaliphilus. RNAcentral describes it as "Salinicoccus alkaliphilus Guanine sequence". It matches the Rfam family "Purine riboswitch aptamer". From Rfam's summary of the family: Riboswitches are metabolite binding domains within certain messenger RNAs that serve as precision sensors for their corresponding targets. Allosteric rearrangement of mRNA structure is mediated by ligand binding, and this results in modulation of gene expression. RNAcentral also lists the same sequence under 1 other name. The record is from RNAcentral. Lineage: Bacteria; Bacillati; Bacillota; Bacilli; Caryophanales; Salinicoccaceae.